GAUGAACGCUGGCGGCGUGCCUAAUACAUGCAAGUCGAGCGAACAGACGAGGAGCUUGCUCCUCUGACGUUAGCGGCGGACGGGUGAGUAACACGUGGAUAACCUACCUAUAAGACUGGGAUAACUUCGGGAAACCGGAGCUAAUACCGGAUAAUAUAUUGAACCGCAUGGUUCAAUAGUGAAAGACGGUUUUGCUGUCACUUAUAGAUGGAUCCGCGCCGCAUUAGCUAGUUGGUAAGGUAACGGCUUACCAAGGCGACGAUGCGUAGCCGACCUGAGAGGGUGAUCGGCCACACUGGAGCUGAGACACGGUCCAGACUCCGACGGGAGGCAGCAGUAGGGAAUCUUCCGCAAUGGGCGAAAGCCUGACGGAGCAACGCCGCGUGAGUGAUGAAGGUCUUCGGAUCGUAAAACUCUGUUAUUAGGGAAGAACAAAUGUGUAAGUAACGAUGCACGUCUUGACGGGACCUAAUCAGAAAGCCACGGCUAACUACGU
Molecule: ribosomal RNA, 496 nt
Filed under: uncultured bacterium
Lineage: Bacteria
Description: partial 16S ribosomal RNA
Rfam family: Bacterial small subunit ribosomal RNA
Source: RNAcentral